RNAcentral lists this long non-coding RNA (843 nucleotides) under Monodelphis domestica (gray short-tailed opossum). RNAcentral's name for it is "lncRNA (ENSMODG00000043848.1)". The record is from RNAcentral. Lineage: Eukaryota; Metazoa; Chordata; Mammalia; Didelphimorphia; Didelphidae.
AACCUAGUAAUGGUAUUGCUAGAUCAAAGGAGAAGGGCAUGAUUUUCUUGAGUGAGCUUUUGUACCUCCUUUUCCAUUUGGCCAAUUCUACUUUGUAAAGAGUUCUUUUCCUCAAACAUUUUUGUAUCUCUUUUUUUCCAUAGGGCCAAUUCUGUUUUUCAAGAAGUUUUUCUCUUCAGUAUUUUUGUAUAUCUUUUUCCAUUUGGCCAAUUCUGCUUUUUAAGUAGUUUUUCUCUUCAUCAGAUUAUUGUGCCUUUUUUUUUUAACAACUGACCUAUUCUGUUUUUUAAGAUAUUAAUUUCUUCAGUAUUUUUUUGUGUGCCUCCUUUACUAAACUGUUGACUCUUUUCCCCAUGAUUUUCCUGUAUCGCUCUCAUUAAUUUUUCCAAUUUUUCUUCUUCCUCUCUUACUUGGUUUUAAAAAUCCUUUUGGAGCUCCUCUUUUUGGGGUUUGAGAACAAUUAAUAUUUUUCUUAGAGGCUUUGGAUGCAGCAGUAUUGACUUUGUUGUUGUCUUCUGAGUUUGAGUCUUCCCUGUCACCAAAAUAACUUUCUAUGUUGAGGUUUUUGUUUGUUUGUUUGUUAUUUCUUUUCUUUUAGUUUAAAAACUGCUGAAAUUGGGCUCCGUAAUUGUGGUGAAGGGAGCACUGUCUCAAGUUUCAUAUUCUUUGUGCAGCUGCCUUCAGAGCUGGCACUGGGCAUCUAUCAUCUAUCAGCUCUUUCAAAGAGUUCUUUCUCUGGAUGUGAAGAGUUCUUUCUCACAAGUUCCUCUGAAUUGUUCAGGAUCACUGCAUUGCACUAUAGAGAAAGUACAUUACAUCAAUUGUACCACAGUGUAUUGUCCU